AACGAACGCUGGCGGCAGGCCUAACACAUGCAAGUCGAGCGAACCCUUCGGGGUUAGCGGCGGACGGGUUAGUAACGCGUGGGAAUAUACCCUUUGGUACGGAAUAGCCUCGGGAAACUGAGAGUAAUACCGUAUAUGCCCUUCGGGGAAGGAUUAUCGCCAAGGAUUAGCCCGCGUUGGAUUAGAUAGUUGGUGGGGUAAGUGGCCUACCAAGUCUACGAUCCAUAGCUGGUUUGAGAGGAUGAUCAGCAACACUGGGACUGAGACACGGCCCAGACUCCUACGGGAGGCAGCAGUGGGGAAUCUUAGACAAUGGGCGCAAGCCUGAUCUAGCCAUGCCGCGUGGACGAUGAAGGCCUUAGGGUUGUAAAGUCCUUUUCAGAUGGGAAGAUAAUGACGGUACCAUCAGAAGAAGCCCCGGCUAACUCCGUGCCAGCAGCCGCGGUAAAGUCUGUACU
RNAcentral lists this ribosomal RNA (458 nucleotides) under uncultured bacterium. Its description in RNAcentral is "bacterial SSU rRNA". It matches the Rfam family "Bacterial small subunit ribosomal RNA", at positions 29 to 531 of the family's 1533-position model. The record is from RNAcentral.